GAUGAACGCUGGCGGCGUGCCUAAUACAUGCAAGUCGAGCGAACAGACGAGGAGCUUGCUCCUUUGACGUUAGCGGCGGACGGGUGAGUAACACGUGGGUAACCUACCUAUAAGACUGGGAUAACUUCGGGAAGCCGGAGCUAAUACCGGAUAAUAUUUCGAACCGCAUGGUUCGAUAGUGAAAGAUGGCUUUGCUGUCACUUAUAGAUGGACCUGCGCCGUAUUAGCUAGUUGGUAAGGUAACGGCUUACCAAGGCAACGAUGCGUAGCCGACCUGAGAGGGUGAUCGGCCACACUGGAACUGAGGCACGGUCCAGACUCCUACGGGAGGCAGCAGUAGGGAAUCUUCCGCAAUGGGCGAAAGCCUGACGGAGCAACGCCGCGUGAGUGAUGAAGGUCUUCGGAUCGUAAAACUCUGUUAUUAGGGAAGAACAAACGUGUAAGUAACUGUGCACGUCUUGACGGUACCUAAUCAGAAAGCCACGGCUAACUACGUG
Molecule: ribosomal RNA, 497 nt
Filed under: uncultured bacterium
Lineage: Bacteria
Description: partial 16S ribosomal RNA
Rfam family: Bacterial small subunit ribosomal RNA
Source: RNAcentral